UGCCAGCAGCCGCGGUAAUACGGAGGGAUCGAACGUUAAUCGGAAUUACUGGGCGUAAAGCGCGCGUAGGCGGUUUCUUAAGUGGGAUGUGAAAGCCCCGGGCUCAACCUGGGAAUUGCAUUCCAUACUGGGGAACUAGAGUGUGAUAGAGGGAGGUAGAAUUUCCUGUGUAGCGGUGAAAUGCGUAGAUAUAGGAAGGAAUACCAGUGGCGAAGGCGGCCUCCUGGAUCAACACUGACGCUGAGGUGCGAAAGCGUGGGGAGCAAACAGGAUUAGAUA
RNAcentral lists this ribosomal RNA (279 nucleotides) under uncultured bacterium. RNAcentral describes it as "partial 16S ribosomal RNA". It matches the Rfam family "Bacterial small subunit ribosomal RNA", at positions 506 to 784 of the family's 1533-position model. The record is from RNAcentral.